AUUGAACGCUGGCGGCAGGCCUAACACAUGCAAGUCGAACGAGCGGCGGACGGGUGAGUAAUGUCUGGGAAACUGCCCGAUAGAGGGGGAUAACUACUGGAAACGGUGGCUAAUACCGCAUACUAUCGGAUGAACCCAGAUGGGAUUAGCUAGUAGGUGGGGUAAAGGCUCACCUAGGCGACGAUCCCUAGCUGGUCUGAGAGGAUGACCAGCCACACUGGAACUGAGACACGGUCCAGACUCCUACGGGAGGCAGCAGUGGGGAAUAUUGCACAAUGGGCGCAAGCCUGAUGCAGCCAUGCCGCGUGUAUGAAGAAGGCCUUCGGGUUGUAAAGUACUUUCAGCGGGGAGGCGUUACCCGCAGAAGAAGCACCGGCUAACUCCGUGCCAGCAGCCGCGGUAAUUC
Molecule: ribosomal RNA, 406 nt
Filed under: uncultured bacterium
Lineage: Bacteria
Description: partial 16S ribosomal RNA
Rfam family: Bacterial small subunit ribosomal RNA
Source: RNAcentral